This 1222-nucleotide long non-coding RNA is filed under the name Dromaius novaehollandiae (emu). Its description in RNAcentral is "lncRNA (ENSDNVG00000001706.1)". The record is from RNAcentral. Lineage: Eukaryota; Metazoa; Chordata; Aves; Casuariiformes; Dromaiidae.
GUAGAUUACACUGAUUUUCAGGCCUCCUAUUGCUUUACCUAAAGGCAUAGCAGAAAUGACAGUUAAACUGUAAACUUGAGACUUCACGGUUUACAUCAGUCUGACAUAAAUGGGCAUAAGUCCAUACUCUGAARUAGUUGCUACUUCAAUUGAAGGGCUGGAUAGGGCAAAUCUCCCCAUGACAAAUGAAGAUGUUUGUGUUUACAGUAUUCAGGUGGCAAGYAACAGUGUUCUGGAGUUUUUGAGGGUUUUGUGGUUCUUUCAAAGGGAAGUAGGGGAACAAGUUCUCAGUGCAAAGUCAAAAUUCUAGGGAAUACAGCAGUAAUGGAUAAAAAGAUUGUAACUCCUCUAGCAGCCGUUGGUCAGUCCAAUUUGACAUCUUUUCUCAGACUUCAGUGUUUCAGACCAACGGAGCAAAGAAGGACGCUGAAGAAGUUGAAGCUUUCUCAAUACAAAUAACAGAACCCCCAGGCUUUGCUUUCCACAAUGGCUAGCUCAGCACCUUUUGUAAGCAAUGAUCUCCCUUGGGCAUGCAGGCAGGGAACAGGGAAAAGCAGAGGAGACCAACACAUUCAGGUAUGUAAGCGGAAAAAAACCUGCUGCUGUCAGUGCAUUUAGAAAGCCCAAGCCCAGACCUCUGUGAUCAAAGAACAGCAUCACAGCAGUGAUCACCUCCAUUUCUUUCUCCUGAUGAAUUCUCUCUUUCACCUCUAGCACAAAAUCAGAUCUGAAUUAAGACAAAAAGUACUGGCAUGUACCUGCGUGUGUGGACUGCYCCAGUACAGAAACUUGACAAAACCAAUGUUUAUCAGUUCUUGGCUAAUCCAAGGUGGGCAAGRGUGAUAGGAGGGAAGCAAAAGUGGUGGGAGGGAGAAGAAAACUCCCUAUCAAAUCGGCACCKGAAAGGAAUCGGCAGGGCUCUGCUCAGGAAAGGAAGCUGCUUUCCAGAGAGGCAAGAGUGGGGCUCACAGUGCAGUUGUGGUGUGCUUGCAGCUCUUAUCAUCCUAUGCCUGUACCCCUAUCUACAGAAUCCUGUGCCUGCAUUUUUCAAGGCCUCUGCUAUCGUGCUACGCCUGUAUUUCUCUAGCUACAUCAUUGAGCUAGUCAUAAAUGUCUCAUUCUACAUAGAAUAACUGUUUGUUACUAGUAGCUAUAUAAAACUGUCAUUGUAUUACACAAAGAUAAACAAAAGUAAAAUAAAUUAGCCAUGGGYACCUGAUCA